AGUUAGUCACGUAGUUUGAUCCUGGCUACAGAACGAACGCUGGCGGCAUGCCUAACACAUGCAAGUCGAACGAGACCUUCGGGUCUAGUGGCGCACGGGUGCGUAACGCGUGGGAAUCUGCCCUUGGGUUCGGAAUAACAGUUGGAAACGACUGCUAAUACCGGAUGAUGACGUAAGUCCAAAGAUUUAUCGCCCAAGGAUGAGCCCGCGUAGGAUUAGCUAGUUGGUGAGGUAAAGGCUCACCAAGGCGACGAUCCUUAGCUGGUCUGAGAGGAUGAUCAGCCACACUGGGACUGAGACACGGCCCAGACUCCUACGGGAGGCAGCAGUGGGGAAUAUUGGACAAUGGGCGAAAGCCUGAUCCAGCAAUGCCGCGUGAGUGAUGAAGGCCUUAGGGUUGUAAAGCUCUUUUACCCGGGAUGAUAAUGACAGUACCGGGAGAAUAAGCUCCGGCUAACUCCGUG
This 464-nucleotide ribosomal RNA is filed under the name uncultured bacterium. Its description in RNAcentral is "bacterial SSU rRNA". It matches the Rfam family "Bacterial small subunit ribosomal RNA", at positions 1 to 507 of the family's 1533-position model. The record is from RNAcentral.